GGUCCGGUAGUUCAGCUGGUUAGAAUGCCGCCCUGUCACGGCGGAGGUCGCGGGUUCGAGUCCCGUCCGGACCGCAA
RNAcentral lists this transfer RNA (77 nucleotides) under Sphingobacteriaceae bacterium. RNAcentral's name for it is "tRNA-Asp". It matches the Rfam family "tRNA". From Rfam's summary of the family: Transfer RNA (tRNA) molecules are approximately 80 nucleotides in length. The record is from RNAcentral. Lineage: Bacteria; Pseudomonadati; Bacteroidota; Sphingobacteriia; Sphingobacteriales; Sphingobacteriaceae.